RNAcentral lists this long non-coding RNA (4328 nucleotides) under Homo sapiens (human). RNAcentral describes it as "HSALNT0243637". The record is from RNAcentral. Lineage: Eukaryota; Metazoa; Chordata; Mammalia; Primates; Hominidae.
CUAGUGCCAGCCAUCACAACGUUAUGGGAUAAUUAAAUCAUGUCAAAUAUAGAAGCGACUUGCUCAUCCCUCCCAAGCAGAUUUAUGGAAACUCACCUGGAAACCACCACAACCUGGAAAGGUGGCAGGAGGAUGUUUAUCAGGCAGUCGAGUUCCAUACAUUUAUUUCAACCCUUCUUGAACCUACCCAUGUGGAAGGCAGAAGCGCUGGGACAUGACCACCCAACUCAGCUCUGAAGCAGCCCUCACACAAUGACGGGGACUGCAAAAAGGAAAUUCUUUGAUAGAAAACCUGGACAGAAACAUUUUAUUUUAUUUUUUAACUUCAGGCAGACAAAGGCAUGAAAGAAAUGUGCCCUUUUGUUGACUGAUUGACAGCUCCAAACCGAACCAGAAUUUUCAAAAGGUGGACCUGAUCUCGUAACAUUGUAAAUUCAGUAUCUAUACGGUUCAUGAAAAUUGUUUUCCCAUUGCUUCUACCUUUAUUGUCAAGCUGUCAAAAUAGCAACUUCCUACUUAAGUUAUAUUUAUGCAAGCAUAUAAAGUGCUUUUUAUUAAAUUUACUUUUGGUUGAAUUAGAUGGACUAUUUUAGAGGAAAUAAAUCAUUUGUAUAAUGGUGAAGAAAUUGACCUUAUGGGCACCUUCCUAAGAAUGAUGUUUCAUUAGUGCUGGAUCAGCUUUUGGUAUCUGCAAGACAAUCUGAGAUCUGGAGACCAAGGGCAGUAUAUUUCAUUUACAUACUCCAUCAGGCUCUCUGCCUGGGUCCUAACUCACCUCACCAAUGGGCUUACUUUUGUCUUCAUUCUUUGUUCCUGAUAUAUAUAUAGGCCAGUGCAUUUGAGACAAAACCAAUAAGAAGGCAGGAGCCAGGAGCUGUUUCUAAUCCAAGCAUCUCACAUAGGUCAAACCUUUAAAGAUGGGAAUGAAAAUGAAGCUGUCCACUCUGGUCCAUUGUCAAAGAGGUCAUUUGGCACUCAUCUCACAAAUGGGGUAGCAUAAAAGAUGGGAGGAAUGGAGUGCGAUGGGGGCAGGGGGAGGCGAUAUGCAGAAAUGACCAGGCAGAAGGUUAGGCCCUUGGUUUCUCAGUCUACAAAUCCUGGCUGUGAUUAGAUUUGGUACCGCACACUUUUCAGAGAUUGCUGGGGGAGAAAUCACCUGCCACCUGCAUUCUGCUGGUUGGAUUUGCUACUGAUGGAGAAGGUAUAGGCUUUACCCAGGACCGCAUUUUUUUUUUUUAACUGCCUUACUCACAUGUACCAAUGCCACAGGAAAUUGAUGGUAACCAAUUGUCUAUGUGCUUUUGUUAGCACCUCUUUUCUGCUGUGCUGGGCUACACAAUUACCACAGCCCUUGAGAAUGCUUAUUGUCAAUAGGAGUAAUUUCACAUCCCAUCCAUUUAGUGAAAAGAUGUGAAAAUUGAUCCAGCUUCUGCGAUAAGACUGGAACCAGGGUGCAGGCUACAAAUGCCUUGGAAAUAAAUAUAUGUCCAUCAUUGUUUUCAUUAGGUAUUGCUGUAGCCCAGCCUCCAGGGAAAUGAACUCAAGUCCAGCUGUCUUGCCGUAGAAGUUCAGAUGUACUCCCAAUCUGGUGAAGUGGGCUGUCAGUUUCAUUUAUUGUUAACUUUUUGUAGUGGUUGUCAAGUAAGGGGUUGGCAGUCUGAAGAGCACAAUUCUGUUUUAUCCACAGACAGGGGACAGUGUAAUUCGACACUGGCUGCCAAGGAGGAACUUGUCCUUCCUAUCCAGCUUAUUGUCUGGACUCUUUUUUUAUGAUUUCAAAAGUCUCUUCAAAAGGGCAACAAAAUUAGCCUUAAAUAGUAUUUCUUGGAUUGCCUUUAACAAUGGCGAUAAGGCCAAAGCUUCUAGUCUUGACAGAAGUGGUUUCAUGACAACUUGUUUUUAUCUUGCCAGAAUAAGCAAGGAACUUAAAAAUGUGUUUUCAUUAUGGCUAAAGACUGUGUUUCAGCUGAUGUCUCUUGCAAGGAAAGAACAAUCUGCAAACUCCAUUAUUAUGUCUCUCAUUCACUUUCUGCUCCUAAGGCAAAAAGAUUUUUGUGUUGUUUUCUUUUUUGUUGUUGUUGUUUUAAAGAGGCCCUCUAUUUCAAUUAGCACAAUUAACAUAUCAAGAAUUUGUGUUUCCAUAAAUUCUACAUUUCACUUCCAGGAAUCAGACUUUAAAAAUGACCUUCAUUUACCAAGAGCUGUAAUCAAGAUGAAAAUCUUCACCCUAAAAACUAACCUUGGAAACAGAAGGCUAAAAAAAGAAAAAGCAUAAUACAGACUGUGUUUUCCAAGUCUUCUUCCCUUGCCUGGUGACAUUAGCCUGGCUUUGAUCUAUAGACAUGACAUCAUCUAUAGGGUGUGCCUUGUGCCAAACAUACUACAUUUCUUUAACCAAGACAGUGGUUUUGUGUAGACUUAGAGAUCAAGGCUAAAUAGCUUCAGAGCUGGUCUGAGUCUUCACAGACAAACAGGUCAGAGCAUAUGUGAGUUACACAACUCCUGCAGACAGCCCAGCCUCUUCCUCUGUGGCCCGCUGGAGAGUUUACAUUUGUCAAUGACUUCCUUCAGGGCCUGGCUCAAGAUUCAUUUCCUCCGAGAGUCCCUCUCCUGCUAACUCACCUCACUCAGCCCUUCUACCUCAUCUGCUGAUUACUCAUACCCUUUUUCCUGCUCUGCCAGGCACUCGGUUCUAUUUUACCUUGUGACGGUUCUCUACAUUUUUACUUUAUCCUUUGGCUAAAUUAAAAUUGCCUGGAAAGUAGGGCCUGUCUGCUACUUCUUUUGUGUGCUUAGGGAGCAUGUUAGUGCUACACGUACCAUAGUGUCUUUUUCUUUUCUCUUUCUUUUUUUUUUUUUUUUAGAUGCAGUUUCGUUCCUGUUGCCCAGGUUGGAGUGCAAUGGUACAAUCUUGGCUCACUGCAACCUUCGCCUCCCAGGUUCAAGCGAUUCUCCAGCCUCAGCCUCCCGAGUAGCUGGGAUUACAGGUGCCCACCACCAUGCCCAGCUAAUUUUUUUUGUAUUUAUAAUAGAGACAGGUUUUCACCAUGUUGCUCAGGCUGGUCUCGAACUCCUGACCUCAGGUGAUCCACCCGCCUUGGUCUCCCAAAAUGCUACUAGGAUUACAAGUGUGAGCCACUGCGCCCGGCACAUAGUUUCUUAAUAAGAGAGGAGUAUUCUGUGGUUGUUGUGUUAGGCUUGGGACCCUGCCUUUGCCCUCUGUUCCUAAAAGCCAAACUCACUGCUUCAACAGCAGGGAGUCUUCCCAGUCCACUCUGGCAAUGGCAUGCCACCUUGGUAUAGUCCUCUCUGGUUUGACCCCAGAAAUCUGUUCCAAGCUUCUCUCCUCAGUGGCUAACAUCUCAUGGGUUUUACUUUCCAAGGUAGGGAUGGGGGAGGCGGGGAAGAAGGGUGCCUGAGCACAGAGCCACGUCAAGUGGAGAGCAGGGGACCCAAGGAGGAUGGGAGCAGACCUUUAGGUACCACAGGGAACAGUGGAGGAGCAGGUAGCUGGGGAGGCUCAGGUUGGGGAGGGGCCAGGGAAAUUUAGACCAAAAGUAUUCAGAAUCUAUGCUGAUAUGAAGAAUAGUCAAAGGUGCAAUUAAAGCAUCUCUGAAAUAAAGAUGUGAGGUCGUGAUUCUAAAUCCAGCCUCAUAUUUUCCUAGGGUAUAUGUGCUGGGGAAAUAUGAAGCCACAGGGUAAACAAGGUCCUUUUUUUCUGGAAUGUCAGCCUUAUCAACCACUUUAUAAAGCUUCCAAUUACAAAUGAAUUAACUUAAGCAACUGCCGCCCACCACCCCCCACCACCCAUCUUUUUGGAGGGGUUCACUUGUCUGGGAAGCCCAUGAAGCUUCAGGUAUGGCUGGAUCUAGGUGUUCCAAUGAUGUUGUCAGAGCUGUAGCUCUUUCCAUCUUUCUGCUCUGCUUGGCCUCAUUCUGUGUGGAGGCUUUCUCCAAGUUACAGUUAAACUGACUGCUGGCAACUCCAGUCCUUAUUCUCUUUGCUUAGCCACCCACAGAAGAGAAAUAACUUCUUUCUCUUCAUAUUUAUACACCAAUUUUAAAAAAGAUACUUCAGGUUGAGUGUGGUGGCUCACACUUGUAAUCCCAGCACUUUGGGAGGCCGAGGAGGGCAGAUCACCUGAGGUCAGGAGUUUGAGACCAGCCUGGCCAACAUGGUGAAACCCCAUCUCUACUAAAAAUACAAAAAUUAUCCAGGUGUGGUGGCGGGUGUCUGUAAUCCCAGCUACUCAGGAGGCGAGGCAGGAGAAUGGCUUGAACCUGGGAGAUGGAGGUUGCAGUAAGCCGAGAUCCCACUAUUGCACGCCA